This 2283-nucleotide ribosomal RNA is filed under the name Triticum aestivum (bread wheat). Its description in RNAcentral is "partial small subunit ribosomal RNA". Lineage: Eukaryota; Viridiplantae; Streptophyta; Magnoliopsida; Poales; Poaceae. The record is from RNAcentral.
UUUAAUCCAGCUGACAUUGAACCCGAUCCUGGCCUUCGGAAACAAAUCGAAGAGUAUGCUACCCCGAAAAUCAGAGAUGUAGUGAGAAGGGUGUAUAUCUCGAAAGGUGCAUGUCAGCCUAAAGAUCAUGAUUUUAAACGCAAUGAAGAUGGCAGGGUAUUUAGAGAAAUAUGGUACAAGGAGUUUGAUUGGCUAGAGUAUAGUGUAGCCAAAAAAGCUGCUUACUGUUUUCACUGUUUUCUUUUCAAGAAACCAACUAUCAGUUCAAAGUUUGGGGCUGAAGUCUUCACCAAGACUGGGUAUACGAACUGAAAGAAAGCAGUUGAAAACUUCAGGCUCCAUGUAGGUUCAACAAAGAGUGCUCACAACAAUUCAAGAAGGCAUUGUGAAGAUUUUAAAAGUCAGAAGCAAAGUGUGGCAUAUGCAAUGACUACUCAAACUGAGAAGGCACAUAUUGAAUACCAGAACCAAUUGUUGGUUGUUGUUGGUGUUGUAAGGUUUCUUCUUAGGCAAGGUCUUGCUUUUCGUGGUCACGAUGAGUCUAAGAAUUCGAGAAACAAGGGUAAUUUCUUUGAGAUGUUAGAGUGGUAUGCUUAGAGAUGUAAGGAUGCAGCUGAUGUUCUGUUUGAUAAUGCUCCUGGAAAUCAUCAGAUGACCGAAAUUCAGAAGCAAUUGGUGCAAGCUUGUGCAGAAAAAACUAUUGAAGUCAUGAUGAAUGAGCUUGGGGAUGGUCAAUUCUCACUUCUUGUUGAUGAACCCCGUGAUGCGUCAAUCAAGGAGCAAAUGGCUGGGAUUUUGAGGUUCUUGAAUAAGCAAGGGGAGACUUUAGAAAGGCUUCUUUGUGUUGAGCAUGUUGUUGACACCGCAUCUGCUUCUCUCAAACGAUCUUUGGAUAAAGUCUUUGCUACCCAUAAUUUGAGCAUGUCUAGGAUGAGAGGGCAAGGAUAUGAUGGAGCCUCAAAUAUGCGUGGGCAACUUAAUGGCUUGAAGAAACUUGUGCUAGAUGAUAAUCCUCAUGCAUUUUAUGUGCAUUGUUUUGCCCAUCAACUUCAACUACUGGUUGCUGUUGUGAAAGGAGUUCUUGCUGUUAGUGAUUUCUUUGGCUAUACAAAUAUCAUUGUGACCACGGUAAGUGCAUCUUGUAGAAGAAAAGAUGCACUGCUACAGAAACAUCAUGACAAGAUUGUACUCCAAUUGGAGAAUGGGGGGAUUAUGAAAGGAAGGGGCAAACAUCAAGAGACAACUAUAGUACGACCUGGUGAUACACGUUGGGGAUCACACGAGAGAACUCUAGGUCGUAUCUAUCAAAUGUUGGACUCGGUGAUCCAAGUGCUACAUGCUAUUUCUUUAGAUGGAGAAAAUGACGACGACAAAGGCAAAGCUUCAGGUUUGAUGAAACAAAUGGAAGGCUUUGAAUUCUUACUCAUAUUGCACUUGAUGAUUAAAGUGCUUGGUCUGGCUAAUGAUUUGUCACAAGCAUUGCAACAAAAGGACCAAAACAUAAUUAGUGCAAUGAACAUGAUUGUCUCUGUGAAAAGGUUAUUGCAGCAUUUGAGGGAUGAAGGGUGGGAGCCACUUUUGGAGGCUAUAACUGCAUUUUGUGUUCAUAGAGAUAUACCGGUGCCAAAUAUGAAUGAUAAUAUUUCAGCAAGGGGUUAUCCAAGGAGUUCACGUAAGUCAGUUACUUGCUUCCAUCACUACAAGGUAGAAAUAUUCAAUGAGGUGAUUGAUAGAAACAUAGCCGAGAUGAACAAUCGUUUUAGUGAAACAACAACCCGAUUAUUGAUUUGCAUUUCAUGUCUAGAUCCUAGAGACUCAUUCAGUAGCUUUGACCAUGACAAGAUAAUUGAGCUUGCAAGCAUUUACUCAGCAGACUUUGAUCCAGAAGAACGGCAAUUUUUGAGUGGUCAGCUUGACAUAUACAUUGAUGUGAUGAAAAGAUCACGUGUUUUUUGUGGUUGUGAUAGUCUAUCAAGUCUCUCUGUUAAGUUAAUUCAAACUAAAGAGUAUUUGCGUUUCCCAUUGGUUUACCGACUCAUCAAACUCACAUUGAUAUUGCCGGUAGCGACAACAUCAGUUGAAAGGGCUUUCUCAGCCAUGAAUAUAAUAAAAACAGAUUUGAGAAACAAGAUAGGUGAUGAAUGGUUGAAUGAUAUGAUGGUUUGCUAUGAUGAGCGAGAUAUAUUUGCUCGGAUUGAAGACAAGAAGAUUAUAGAACAUUUUCAUGGCCUAAGGGAUCGUAGAGGCCAUCUUCCAAAUCCUCCACGUAUAACAACAACUUAA